Molecule: ribosomal RNA, 321 nt
Filed under: uncultured eukaryote
Lineage: Eukaryota
Description: partial 18S ribosomal RNA
Rfam family: Eukaryotic small subunit ribosomal RNA
Source: RNAcentral
CCCUUAGAUGUUCUGGGCUGCACGCGCGCUACACUGAUGCGUUCAGCGAGUAUUCACCUUGCCCGGGAGGGUUGGGUAAUCUUUUGAAAACGCUUCGUGAUGGGGAUAGAUUAUUGCAAUUAUUAAUCUUCAACGAGGAAUUCCUAGUAAGCGCGAGUCAUCAGCUCGUGCUGAUUACGUCCCUGCCCUUUGUACACACCGCCCGUCGCACCUACCGAUUGAAUGGUCCGGUGAAAUCUCGGGACGGCGGCUUGGUCGCUUGCGUCCGACUGCUGAAACUUGAUUAAACCAUAUCAUUUAGAGGAAGGUGAAGUCGUAACA